CAAUAGCGUAUAUUAAAGUUGUUGCGGUUAAAAAGCUCGUAGUUGGAGUUCUGCCAGGUGCCGCCUGUCCGCCCCAGUGGUGAGUACGUGGCGCGCAUUUGGCCCUUUCAAGGGGAGCGUAUCUGCACUUUAUUGUGUGGUGCGGGAUCCUUGACUUUUACUUUGAGGAAAUAGGAGUGUUCCAAGCAGGCUCUCGUCGUGCACAGCUCAGCAUGGAAUAAUAGCAUUGGACCUCGAUUCUAAGCUGUUGGUUGCCAGAAGCGAGGUAAUGAUGAAGAGGGAUAGUUGGGGGCAUUCGUAUUUAACUGUCAGAGGUGCAAUUCUUGGAUUUGUUAAAGACGGACUACUGCGAAAGCAUCUGCCAUGGAUGUUUUCAUUGA
Molecule: ribosomal RNA, 380 nt
Filed under: uncultured eukaryote
Lineage: Eukaryota
Description: partial 18S ribosomal RNA
Rfam family: Eukaryotic small subunit ribosomal RNA
Source: RNAcentral